RNAcentral lists this signal recognition particle RNA (98 nucleotides) under Bryobacterales bacterium. RNAcentral's name for it is "signal recognition particle sRNA small type". It matches the Rfam family "Bacterial small signal recognition particle RNA". From Rfam's summary of the family: The signal recognition particle (SRP) is a universally conserved ribonucleoprotein involved in the co-translational targeting of proteins to membranes. Lineage: Bacteria; Pseudomonadati; Acidobacteriota; Terriglobia; Bryobacterales. The record is from RNAcentral.
CUCCGGGCUCUGUGCAGCGGGAUGCUGUGAACUCCGCCAGGUCUGGAAGGAAGCAACGGUAGCGGCCUCUUCCGCGUGCCGCGGAUUCCCCGGAGCCC